CCGCAGCUUUUCCAGUUCCUCUCGGUGGCUUCUCGGCUGGUCCAGACGCCGUCGCGUGGUAGCCAUGUUGCCAACUGAAUUUGAUGCGGCGCUUAGCAUCCAUUAAUUGGUGAAAUCAAGAUCACGCAUCACUCAUCUGGAUCGGUUCGGCAUUCAGGGAUUUCAUUCAGGAUUGGGCUUCCGUGCUCAAUGCGAGUUCUGGGUUCAGGAUGGUGGCAGCGAGUACACGGUUUGGAUCUGCUCUUUGCUUGGCCCGCGCCAUCCGAUUUCUGGCUACCACUCAGUACCGUGGCGAGCUCAUGCACAUGGCGCUAUGUCGCUAGCGGAGUCGCCACAAAAUGCUUUGACAAGGGUUCGGAGUACGAUUCAGAUGCACAAGAAACAUCUGCAGAGAUUGCAUGAGCGGCGGCGACCGCCGACCAACAACACGCCAGCAGUCUCUGUCGUUAGGAUUAAACCACACAUGGAAUGUACAUACAUACUUUCAUUUUACCAAUAUGAAAUACGUCUUGUUGUGAUCAAAA
Panicum virgatum (switchgrass) is the source of this 524-nucleotide long non-coding RNA. RefSeq lists it as uncharacterized. The record is from RefSeq and is a predicted model, not a curated record. The transcript is spliced from 2 exons. NCBI's taxonomy places the organism in Eukaryota, Viridiplantae, Streptophyta, Magnoliopsida, Poales, Poaceae.